This 1373-nucleotide ribosomal RNA is filed under the name metagenome. RNAcentral describes it as "bacterial SSU rRNA". It matches the Rfam family "Bacterial small subunit ribosomal RNA", at positions 132 to 1498 of the family's 1533-position model. The record is from RNAcentral.
AUUAGCGGGGGACAACGUUUCGAAAGGAACGCUAAUACCGCAUACGCCCUACGGGGGAAAGCAGGGGAUCUUUUGACCUUGCACUAAUGGAUGAGCCUAGGCUGGAUUAUCUAGUUGGUAGGGUAAAGGCCUACCAAGGCGACGAUCUGUAGCUGGUCUGAGAGGAUGGCCAGCCACACUGGAACUGAGACACGGUCCAGACUCCUACGGGAGGCAGCAGUAGGGAAUCUUCGGCAAUGGAGGCAACCCUGAUCCAGCCAUGCCGCGUGAGUGAAGAAGGCCUUCGGGUUGUAAAGCUCUUUCGGCCGGGAAGAAAUCGCAUGGGCCAAUACCCUGUGUGGAUGACGGUACCGGAAUAAGAAGCACCGGCUAACUACGUGCCAGCAGCCGCGGUAAUACGUAGGGUGCGAGCGUUAAUCGGAAUUACUGGGCGUAAAGCGUGCGCAGGCGGUUUUGUAAGACAGGCGUGAAAUCCCCGGGCUCAACCUGGGGACUGCGUUUGUGACUGCAAGGCUAGAGUACGGCAGAGGGGGGUGGAAUUCCACGUGUAGCAGUGAAAUGCGUAGAGAUGUGGAGGAACACCAAAUGGCGAAGGCAGCCCCCUGGGUCGAUACUGACGCUCAUGCACGAAAGCGUGGGUAGCAAACAGGAUUAGAUACCCUGGUAGUCCACGCCCUAAACUAUGUCAACUAGGUGUUGGGUGGGUAAAACCAUUUAGUACCGUAGCUAACGCGUGAAGUUGACCGCCUGGGGAGUACGGCCGCAAGGUUAAAACUCAAAGGAAUUGACGGGGACCCGCACAAGCGGUGGAUGAUGUGGAUUAAUUCGAUGCAACGCGAAAAACCUUACCUACCCUUGACAUGCCAGGAACUUGCCAGAGAUGGCUUGGUGCCCGAAAGGGAGCCUGGACACAGGUGCUGCAUGGCUGUCGUCAGCUCGUGUCGUGAGAUGUUGGGUUAAGUCCCGCAACGAGCGCAACCCUUGUCGUUAAUUGCCAUCAUUUAGUUGGGCACUUUAGCGAGACUGCCGGUGACAAAUCGGAGGAAGGUGGGGAUGACGUCAAGUCCUCAUGGCCCUUAUGGGUAGGGCUUCACACGUCAUACAAUGGUCGGUACAAAGGGUCGCCAAGCCGCGAGGUGGAGCCAAUCCCAGAAAGCCGAUCGUAGUCCGGAUUGCAGGCUGCAACUCGCCUGCAUGAAGUCGGAAUCGCUAGUAAUCGUGGAUCAGCAUGUCACGGUGAAUACGUUCCCGAGUCUUGUACACACCGCCCGUCACACCAUGGGAGCGGGUUCCGCCAGAAGUAGGUAGCCUAACCGCAAGGAGGGCGCUUACCACGGCGGGGUUCGUGACUGGGGUGAAGUCGUAACAAGGUA